Molecule: ribosomal RNA, 819 nt
Filed under: uncultured Actinomycetes bacterium
Lineage: Bacteria; Bacillati; Actinomycetota; Actinomycetes
Description: bacterial SSU rRNA
Rfam family: Bacterial small subunit ribosomal RNA
Source: RNAcentral
ACUCCUACGGGAGGCAGCAGUGGGGAAUAUUGCACAAUGGGCGCAAGCCUGAUGCAGCAACGCCGCGUGAGGGACGACGGCCUUCGGGUUGUAAACCUCUUUUAGUAGGGAAGAAGCGAAAGUGACGGUACCUGCAGAAAAAGCACCGGCUAACUACGUGCCAGCAGCCGCGGUAAUACGUAGGGUGCAAGCGUUAUCCGGAAUUAUUGGGCGUAAAGAGCUCGUAGGCGGUUUGUCGCGUCUGCUGUGAAAACUGGAGGCUCAACCUCCAGCCUGCAGUGGGUACGGGCAGACUAGAGUGCGGUAGGGGAGAUUGGAAUUCCUGGUGUAGCGGUGGAAUGCGCAGAUAUCAGGAGGAACACCGAUGGCGAAGGCAGAUCUCUGGGCCGUAACUGACGCUGAGGAGCGAAAGCAUGGGGAGCGAACAGGAUUAGAUACCCUGGUAGUCCAUGCCGUAAACGUUGGGAACUAGAUGUAGGGUCCAUUCCACGGACUCUGUGUCGCAGCUAACGCAUUAAGUUCCCCGCCUGGGGAGUACGGCCGCAAGGCUAAAACUCAAAGGAAUUGACGGGGGCCCGCACAAGCGGCGGAGCAUGCGGAUUAAUUCGAUGCAACGCGAAGAACCUUACCAAGGCUUGACAUAUACCGGAAAAGUUCAGAAAUGUUCUCCCCGCAAGGUCGGUAUACAGGUGGUGCAUGGUUGUCGUCAGCUCGUGUCGUGAGAUGUUGGGUUAAGUCCCGCAACGAGCGCAACCCUCGUUCUAUGUUGCCAGCACGUAAUGGUGGGAACUCAUAGGAGACUGCCGGGGUCAACUCGGA